CGGCGGACGGGUGAGUAACACGUGGAUAACCUACCUAUAAGACUGGGAUAACUUCGGGAAACCGGAGCUAAUACCGGAUAAUAUAUUGAACCGCAUGGUUCAAUGGUGAAAGACGGUUUUGCUGUCACUUAUAGAUGGAUCCGCGCCGCAUUAGCUAGUUGGUAAGGUAACGGCUUACCAAGGCAACGAUGCGUAGCCGACCUGAGAGGGUGAUCGGCCACACUGGAACUGAGACACGGUCCAGACUACUACGGGAGGCAGCAGUC
This 266-nucleotide ribosomal RNA is filed under the name uncultured Staphylococcus sp. Its description in RNAcentral is "partial 16S ribosomal RNA". It matches the Rfam family "Bacterial small subunit ribosomal RNA", at positions 96 to 355 of the family's 1533-position model. Lineage: Bacteria; Bacillati; Bacillota; Bacilli; Caryophanales; Staphylococcaceae. The record is from RNAcentral.